Molecule: long non-coding RNA, 2752 nt
Organism: Oncorhynchus masou masou (cherry salmon)
Lineage: Eukaryota; Metazoa; Chordata; Actinopteri; Salmoniformes; Salmonidae
Exons: 4
Source: RefSeq, a predicted model, not a curated record
GACAGAUUCUCGCCACGCCACCUGGUAGGAGCGACCUGUCAGGUAGGACGCAAUCCAAGUUAUCUUCUUUACAUGUGUGUACAUAGCUGAUACAGAUUACACACGCCCUCAGGUAUCUCUUCCAGGAGAAGGAUCUAGAGGUGCUGCUGGUGAAGGAGGAGGGGUUUGAGGAGGGUCUGGGGAACAUGGUCAUGGAGGACAACCAGACGACAUCUCCUCCUGAACCCACAGAGGAACCAGCUGAGCAGCACAGGACCACACACAGUCUCACUGAGUCAGUAGACAUGGAGGAUGGGAAGCCUGAUCUGCUGCUGGUCAAAGAGGAGAAGAGGAUGGACCAGAGAGCAUUGACCUGCUGAGUGGACUAAAGAUGGGGGAGCAAGGUAAUUGACUCAAAUUCCAUUGGGCCCGUGGGACGACAUCACUGAGCAAGCCAGGAACAAAGGCAACAUAGUGAAGUUUGCAGUCCAUGAAGACCUGCUGAUAUCCAGUGUUACUGGCGGGAGAGACGACCUCUGAGGCGGAUGGUCACAAAUCUUGAACCAGGACAAUGCAUCAGGAGCCAGUCCUGAGUCAGAACCCAACCGUGAGGGACAGAGACUCCACCACAACCAUUACACACACAGUACCUUCAGAAAGUAUUCACACCCCUUGACUUUUUCCACAUUUUGUUGUGUUACAGUCUGAAUUUAAAAUGGAUUAAAUGUAGAUGAGUUGUGUCACUGGCCUACACACAACCCCAUAACUGUGUGCAAUAAUAUAGUGUUUAACACGAUUUCUGAACGACUACCUCACCUCUACCCUACACAUACAAUUAUCUGUAUUACAAUGAGUACCACUCUCCAUAUUUUCAAGCAUAGUGGUGGUUGCAUGAUAUGUGUAUGGGGAGUUUUUCAGGAUAAAAGAGAAACGGAAUGGAGUUAAGCACAGGCACAAUGUGUAUUAUUGUUAUGAAUCUCACAUGGCUGUAGCAAACUUUGCCACCCAAUAAUUGACUUUGGCUGUAUUUAUACGGAUGUAUGUCACCGUGUCACUGUGUUUAGUCUACAUUCCUUGACCUCAAGCUGUUUGCAGUAAAUGGCCUAUAAGUUACCUUCAGGUGAUGACUGAGGUGAAAUAUUGAACCUGUAGUUGAUAUUCCAGACUUUCUGGUCUUCAAACUGAGUCAGUGUACAACAUGUUGACUUCUGGGUCAUGCCAUUUGAUUUCAAUCACUUUUUGCCCACACUCCUUUUGAUUCGAACUAAACUUUCAAUACAUAUUUGCCCAUGGUAGAAGGGGUCAGAAAGUAACAUUUUGGACCUGCCAGAACAUUCAGGAGAGGGAGGUGCUCAAAGUUGUCCCAUUUGGCAUACCUCAUCAUACCAUGAAAUCAAUGUCUUCCUCACUGGGAAAGAUAAGCUUGCAUACAGGAUUGUCAAACUAUUUGAUAAUUUUCUGAAAUUAAAGUUUAAUUUAAAUUUUUUUAAACUUUAAUGUCAAUUAUCUAAAAACAAAUUAAACAUUUUUUUUCUUCUUUUUUUACAUAUGUUGCAGCUUUUGACCAUAUUUGACAUAAUCUGAGAUGUUUGUGUUUAUGCCCGUCAUCGGUUGAGAGACAGCACGCUCUUGAAAACAUGGUGGAUGUCAUGUUUUGGCUGAUUAAUGUACUAAAAUGGGAAUAACAUUGACAUUUCUACUUUCAAAUGGUACCACAAAAAUGGUUGGAGGGCCACAUAUCAGAGAAUGUUGACUUGAAUGAGAGAUCAGUUAAAUUACUGUCAAUCUUCCAUAUGAAACCUAUUGAUAUCAUAGGAAUAUAGAUAAUAGAACAGACAUUCCCAUUUAAGUUGAUAUUCAGUGGGUGGACCGGCAGCCAUUUUUGUAAGUAGGAAUUGGAAGUUAAAAUAGCAAUUUCAGUAUCAAUGGUGUACCAGCUAAAUUGCAGUGGUCUGAAGGGAUAGGCCCAUUCUAUGAAUUAUAUUUAUAUGAUUGAAAUAACGCCCACCCUGUAUUCAAGACUAUGUAUGCUGUGUCUCAACUGAUGGCGGACACAACACAUACACCUCAGAGUAUGUAAAUUAGGGUCUAAACUACAACAUAUGCGAAAAUUAAACAAAUCUGAGUUUGUGUUGUUAGAUACAGUACUUUAGAUUUUUUAUUUAAAAAAACAUUUACUUCAAGAAAUUCUAAAUAGUUAGAAAACCCUGUUUUUAAGCUUUUAAAUUGUAUCAAACUCAACAAUAUUUUCCAGUGAUGAAGAUAUGGAUGUCUCAUGGUAUGGUGGGGUAUGCAAAAAGGGGCAGCUCUAUCUCGUGAAUGUUUUGGCAUUCAGGUCCAAGAAUGUCACUUUCUGACCACUACUACCAUGGGCAAACAUGUAUGGAAAGUUUCAUUCAAAUCAAACGAGGGUAAUUAACCACAAACCCCUCAUUAACUUGUCAUUUGAAACAAUGUGGCCAAUCAGCUUAAAUCCAAUAGUUUUUUUCAUAUUGAACAUAGAUAUUAAGCUGUACACAACCAGCGCUAUAUGUAUGUGCAAUAUGAAAAAACGAUUGGAACGAGCUGAUUGGCUUUUAAAGUGUGGCCACAAAAUGAGCAGAAACGCUCCUCUGGGUGUAAACUCUGUGGAUUUGGAAACAAGUGCUCCUGAGUAGAAUGGAACCCCCCUUUUACUGCGACACAAUGUACAGGCUAUUCUGCAAUAAAUUAUAGGAGUACACACACAACAACAACAAAAACAUUGUUGAGCAUUUAGACUUGAAAAAACAAA